CGGAAUUCCCAGGGAAAAACCCAGAAUUUCAGGGUUUUCCACAAAAAAAAAAUCCCUGUGGGUUUAGGGUUUUCAAUAAACGGAAUUUUGAAGGAGUUUUGGUGAAUUUUUUGGGGGUUUAUCCCGAAUUUUGGGGGGUUUGGAUGUUGGGAGAUCCCCCCUGAGAGUCAGAAUUCCCAGGAAAAUCCUGGAAUUCCCAGAAAAAUCCCAGAAUUCCCAGGGAAAAUCCCGGAAUUUCUGCGCUUUCCGUGGAAAAAAUCACUGCGGGUUCGGGGGUUUCAGUAAACGGAAUUUUGAAGGAGUUUUGGUGAUUUUUAGGGGGAGUUUGGAGCUCCCGAGAUUCAGAAUUCCCGAGAAAAAUCCUGGAGUUCCUAGGAAAAAAUCCCAGAAUUCCCAAGAAAAAUCCUGGAAUUUCGAAGUUGUCCCCAAAAAAUCUGUUAUUUUUAUUGGUGUCGAUAAACGGAAUUUGAAGGA
This is a non-coding RNA of Taeniopygia guttata (zebra finch), 474 nucleotides long. NCBI's taxonomy places the organism in Eukaryota, Metazoa, Chordata, Aves, Passeriformes, Estrildidae. The record is from RefSeq and is a predicted model, not a curated record.